GGAAUAUUGCACAAUGGGGGAAACCCUGAUGCAGCCAUGCCGCGUGUGUGAAGAAGGCCUUCGGGUUGUAAAGCACUUUCAGCGAGGAGGAAAGGUGGAUGCCUAAUACGUAACAGCUGUGACGUUACUCGCAGAAGAAGCACCGGCUAACUCUGUGCCAGCAGCCGCGGUAAGACGGAGGGUGCAAGCGUUAAUCGGAAUUACUGGGCGUAAAGCGCACGCAGGCGGUUGGAUAAGUUAGAUGUGAAAGCCCCGGGCUCAACCUGGGAAUUGCAUUUAAAACUGUCCAGCUAGAGUCUUGUAGAGGGGGGUAGAAUUCCAGGUGUAGCGGUGAAAUGCGUAGAGAUCUGGAGGAAUACCGGUGGCGAAGGCGGCCCCCUGGACAAAGACUGACGCUCAGGUGCGAAAGCGUGGGGAGCAAAC
RNAcentral lists this ribosomal RNA (423 nucleotides) under uncultured bacterium. RNAcentral's name for it is "bacterial SSU rRNA". It matches the Rfam family "Bacterial small subunit ribosomal RNA", at positions 358 to 773 of the family's 1533-position model. The record is from RNAcentral.